This 468-nucleotide ribosomal RNA is filed under the name uncultured bacterium. RNAcentral describes it as "partial 16S ribosomal RNA". It matches the Rfam family "Bacterial small subunit ribosomal RNA", at positions 28 to 507 of the family's 1533-position model. The record is from RNAcentral.
GACGAACGCUGGCGGCGUGCUUAACACAUGCAAGUCGAACGGAAAGGCGCUGCUUUUCUUGGGUGCUCGAGUGGCGAACGGGUGAGAAACAUGUGAGUAUCCUGCCCUUGAUAUUGGGAUAACUUCAGAAAACUUGGGCGAACACCGUAUUGGAACACCAGCUCAAUGUAUGGUUUUGGAAAGUUUCGGCGGUUGGGGAUGGAUUCGCGGCUUAUUAGCUUGUUGGUGGGGUAGUGGCUCACCAAGGCUUUGACGGGUAGCCGGCCUGAGAGGGUGACCGGGCAACAUGGGAAUGGGAUAAGGCCCAGAAUCCUAAGGGAAGCAGCAGUGGGGGAUAUUGCACAAUGGGCGGAAGACUGAUGCAGAGAAGCCGCGUGCGGAAUAACGAGCUUCGCGUUGUAAAACGCGUUUGCAUUUGACGAGGAGUGAGUGACGGUAAUAGGAAAAGAAGCACCGGCUAACUACGUG